GUUAGGCUGGGCUGUGAUGGGGAGCGAAAAUUGCAGUAGCGAAGGUCAUGUACUCCGGCUGUCGAGAAAAGCCUCUAGUUAGAUCUAGGUGCCCGUACCGCAAACCGACACAGGUAGGCGAGCAGAGCAUGCUAAGGCGCGCGGAAGAACUCUCGUUAAGGAACUCGGCAAAAUGACCCCGUAACUUCGGGAGAAGGGGUGCCUCGGUAGGGUGAAUAGCCCGAGGGGGCCGCAGUGAAAAGGCCCAAGCGACUGUUUAGCAAAAACACAGGUCUGUGCGAAGCCGUAAGGCGAAGUAUACGGGCUGACGCCUGCCCGGUGCUGGAAGGUUAAGGGGAGCGGUUAGGGGUAACCCGAAGCUGUGAACCGAAGCCCCAGUAAACGGCGGCCGUAACUAUAACGGUCCUAAGGUAGCGAAAUUCCUUGUCAGGUAAAUUCUGACCCGCACGAAUGGCGUAACGACUUGGGCGCUGUCUCAACGAGAGAUCCGGUGAAAUUUUAAUACCUGUGAAGAUGCAGGUUACCCGCGACAAGACGGAAAGACCCCAUGGAGCUUUACUGCAGCUUGAUAUUGGACUUUGGUACGAUCUGUACAGGAUAGGUGGGAGCCUAGGAAGCCGGAGCGCCAGCUUCGGUGGAGGCGCCGUUGGGAUACCACCCUGAUCGUAUCGGAGUUCUAACCCGGCACCGUGAAUCCGGUGCGGGGACCGUGUCAGGCGGGCAGUUUGACUGGGGCGGUCGCCUCCUAAAAAGUAACGGAGGCGCCCAAAGGUUCCCUCAGAAUGGUUGGAAAUCAUUCGCAGAGUGCAAAGGCAUAAGGGAGCUUGACUGCGAGACCUACAAGUCGAGCAGGGACGAAAGUCGGGCUUAGUGAUCCGGUGGUACCGCAUGGAAGGGCCAUCGCUCAACGGAUAAAAGCUACCCUGGGGAUAACAGGCUUAUCUCCCCCAAGAGUCCACAUCGACGGGGAGGUUUGGCACCUCGAUGUCGGCUCAUCGCAUCCUGGGGCUGAAGUAGGUCCCAAGGGUUGGGCUGUUCGCCCAUUAAAGCGGUACGCGAGCUGGGUUCAGAACGUCGUGAGACAGUUCGGUCCCUAUCUGUCGCGGGCGUAGGAAAUUUGAGAGGAGCUGUCCUUAGUACGAGAGGACCGGGAUGGACGUACCGCUGGUGUACCAGUUGUUCCGCCAGGAGCACCGCUGGGUAGCCAAGUACGGACGGGAUAAGCGCUGAAAGCAUCUAAGCGUGAAGCCCCCCUCAAGAUGAGAUUUCCCAAUUCGUAAGACCCCUUGAAGACGACGAGGUUGAUAGGUUCGGGGUGGAAGCACAGCAAUGUGUGGAGCUGACGAAUACUAAUCGGUCGAGGGCUUAUCCUAAA
Molecule: ribosomal RNA, 1375 nt
Filed under: Paenibacillus nanensis
Lineage: Bacteria; Bacillati; Bacillota; Bacilli; Caryophanales; Paenibacillaceae
Description: bacterial LSU rRNA
Rfam family: Bacterial large subunit ribosomal RNA
Source: RNAcentral